GGAAGGUGGGGAUGACGUCAAGUCCUCAUGGCCCUUAUAUCCAGGGCUACACACGUGCUACAAUGGCCGGUACAAAGGGUCGCAAUACCGGCGAGGUGGAGCUAAAUCCCAAAAAGCCGGUCUCAGUUCGGAUUGGAGUCUGCAACUCGACUCCAUGAAGUCGGAAUCGCUAGUAAUCGCGUAUCAGCGUGACGCCGGUGAACUACGUUCUCGGGCCUU
This 219-nucleotide ribosomal RNA is filed under the name uncultured Geothermobacter sp. RNAcentral describes it as "partial 16S ribosomal RNA". It matches the Rfam family "Bacterial small subunit ribosomal RNA", at positions 1168 to 1382 of the family's 1533-position model. Lineage: Bacteria; Pseudomonadati; Thermodesulfobacteriota; Desulfuromonadia; Desulfuromonadales; Geothermobacteraceae. The record is from RNAcentral.